RNAcentral lists this ribosomal RNA (465 nucleotides) under Vreelandella stevensii. Its description in RNAcentral is "partial 16S ribosomal RNA". It matches the Rfam family "Bacterial small subunit ribosomal RNA", at positions 338 to 795 of the family's 1533-position model. The record is from RNAcentral. Lineage: Bacteria; Pseudomonadati; Pseudomonadota; Gammaproteobacteria; Oceanospirillales; Halomonadaceae.
CCUACGGGUGGCAGCAGUGGGGAAUAUUGGACUAUGGGCGAAAGCCUGAUCCAGCCAUGCCGCGUGUGUGAAGAAGGCCUUCGGGUUGUAAAGCACUUUCAGUGGGGAAGAAAGCCUUGGGGCGAAUACCCUCGAGGAAGGACAUCACCCACAGAAGAAGCACCGGCUAACUCCGUGCCAGCAGCCGCGGUAAUACGGAGGGUGCGAGCGUUAAUCGGAAUUACUGGGCGUAAAGCGCGCGUAGGCGGUCUGAUAAGCCGGUUGUGAAAGCCCCGGGCUCAACCUGGGAACGGCAUCCGGAACUGUCAGGCUAGAGUGCAGGAGAGGAAGGUAGAAUUCCCGGUGUAGCGGUGAAAUGCGUAGAGAUCGGGAGGAAUACCAGUGGCGAAGGCGGCCUUCUGGACUGACACUGACGCUGAGGUGCGAAAGCGUGGGUAGCAAACAGGAUUAGAUACCCCGGUAGUC